RNAcentral lists this ribosomal RNA (484 nucleotides) under uncultured bacterium. RNAcentral's name for it is "partial 16S ribosomal RNA". It matches the Rfam family "Bacterial small subunit ribosomal RNA", at positions 28 to 523 of the family's 1533-position model. The record is from RNAcentral.
GACGAACGCUGGCGGCGUGCUUAACACAUGCAAGUCGAACGAUGAAGCCGGAGCUUGCUCUGGUGGAUUAGUGGCGAACGGGUGAGUAACACGUGAGUAACCUGCCCUUGACUCUGGGAUAAGCGUUGGAAACGACGUCUAAUACCGGAUACGAGCUAGGACCGCAUGGUCACUAGCUGGAAAGAACUUCGGUCAAGGAUGGACUCGCGGCCUAUCAGAUAGUUGGUGAGGUAACGGCUCACCAAGACGACGACGGGUAGCCGGCCUGAGAGGGUGACCGGCCACACUGGGACUGAGACACGGCCCAGACUCCUACGGGAGGCAGCAGUGGGGAAUAUUGCACAAUGGGCGCAAGCCUGAUGCAGCAACGCCGCGUGAGGGACGACGGCCUUCGGGUUGUAAACCUCUUUUAGCAGGGAAGAAGCGCAAGUGACGGUACCUGCAGAAAAAGCACCGGCUAACUACGUGCCAGCAGCCGCAGUAA